GGGGGGGGGGGGGGGGGGGCGGAGGGCGGGGGAGGCGGGCGGGCGGACGAGGGGCUUGCUCCGCUGACGUUGGCGGCGGACGGGUGAGUAACACGUGGAUAACCUACCUAUAAGACUGGGAUAACUUCGGGAAACCGGAGCUAAUACCGGAUAAUAUAUUGAACCGCAUGGUUCAAUAGUGAAAGACGGUUUUGCUGUCCCUUAUAGAUGGAUCCGCGCCGCAUUAGCUAGUUGGUAAGGUAACGGCUUACCAAGGCAACGAUGCGUAGCCGACCUGAGAGGGUGAUCGGCCACACUGGAACUGAGACACGGUCCAGACUCAUACGGGAGGCAGCAGUAGGGAAUCUUCCGCAAUGGGCGAAAGCCUGACGGAGCAACGCCGCGUGAGUGAUGAAGGUCUUCGGAUCGUAAAACUCUGUUAUUAGGGAAGAACAAAUGUGUAAGUAACUAUGCACGUCUUGACGGUACCUAAUCAGAAAGCCACGGCUAACUACGUG
RNAcentral lists this ribosomal RNA (497 nucleotides) under uncultured bacterium. RNAcentral's name for it is "partial 16S ribosomal RNA". It matches the Rfam family "Bacterial small subunit ribosomal RNA", at positions 38 to 507 of the family's 1533-position model. The record is from RNAcentral.